AGUAAAGACGAUAUCGUUGUCUACCCACUGCCGCUUGGGAGUGUUCUCGGAGUUGUCUGCCCCCCGAAGCCAUGGUCCUACCGAGAUCAUGUUGAUCACACCCGUUGUUAGUUGGACGUGAGUUUCUUCCUCAAGUUCCAGACGAGGUGGAUCAGAAGAUAGCUACGUAGGUCGCUGCUGUGCAUACUUUUUGAGAUAUCUCCACCUUAUUAGAUCUUUGAUCUCGUUCUUC
This 232-nucleotide long non-coding RNA is filed under the name Elaeis guineensis (African oil palm). RNAcentral describes it as "long non-coding RNA (EGUI_LNC013623)". Lineage: Eukaryota; Viridiplantae; Streptophyta; Magnoliopsida; Arecales; Arecaceae. The record is from RNAcentral.